Molecule: long non-coding RNA, 406 nt
Filed under: Penaeus chinensis
Lineage: Eukaryota; Metazoa; Arthropoda; Malacostraca; Decapoda; Penaeidae
Description: uncharacterized LOC125041577, transcript variant X2
Source: RNAcentral
GCGCUCCUCAGGCCCUCAAGUCGACAUGAAGCUGUCCUUCCGAAUCUCCUUCACCAACGAGCGUCCUUCGUCCUCCCCCCAGUUCUCCCUCGCCGUGGCUCUGGUGGCGAUGGUGUGCCUCCUGGUGUCUCCCAGCCGGGCCACUCCUGAAGCAGACCCUGUGGCCGGCCCCUUCCCCCGUGGCCGACCCUGACCCCCUCUUCUUCUGGAAGUUCAGGCCCAGGUACUACCGGGGCUACGGGGGCUACAGGGGCUACGGCGGCUACGGAGGCUACUCUAGGGGCUACUACAAGAAGGGAUACUGGUAAAGAAGAUUUGUGGGAGAAGCUUCGUUGGAGUGAAGCUUUGUGGAAUGAUUCUCUAUGGCGAUGAACAUGAAUAAAAGUAAUUCGUAGUAGUUAAUAAA